CCCUCUUCUCCUCCUUCACAUUUUCAAAAAAUCUAGAACCGCCGCCGCUGCUCUCUUCGAUCUCAGUGUGUCCACAACGUUCUCCAUCCUUCCUCUUCAGUCUUCAAACAUCGCUAGCGUGGGAAUGCUAGAGUGUUGUCGUCCGAUUGUUGCUGUCAGUUAUACUCGCGCAACUUCUCCUUCCUCCUCUGUCCGAGCAACAGGUUGGAUGCAUCAGAAUUAUUCCCCCUAUUCUAUCAUCGGCCUUCUCUAUUCGUGCAGCAGCAGUGCCAGAUCUUUCCCCCAUGUCUCACAGAUCAUCAUAAUUCCUCUUCACGGUACUAUUAUGAUCUGUGUAAUAGAGCUGCAAAUUCUUUCUUUUCAGAUCUCCCUAAUUUCCCUUGGCGCGCCAUGGUACACCUAGCUAGGAGGGUGUUUAUAAGAGGUGCUAGCCCCGUGUGAUGGCCAAUGCACGUGAAACAGAGGGAUGUUAUUCGUGAGCAUCAUACUCACGUUUGUUUCAUGGCUUUAAGUCACAUUUGAUUAGCAUUACCCUCGUGGACUGUAUGUCCACGUUUGUCUCAUGGUUUCGACCGUAUUUGGUUACUUACUCUCGUGGACUAAGUGUCUACGUUUGUUUUUGUGGCAUAAGCCGCAUUUGGUUAGUUACUCUCGUGGAUUGUAUGUCUACAUUUGUUAAUUAUUCUGAU
Molecule: long non-coding RNA, 689 nt
Organism: Prosopis cineraria
Lineage: Eukaryota; Viridiplantae; Streptophyta; Magnoliopsida; Fabales; Fabaceae
Exons: 3
Source: RefSeq, a predicted model, not a curated record